This 332-nucleotide ribosomal RNA is filed under the name uncultured bacterium. Its description in RNAcentral is "bacterial SSU rRNA". It matches the Rfam family "Bacterial small subunit ribosomal RNA", at positions 568 to 898 of the family's 1533-position model. The record is from RNAcentral.
CGUGUAGGCGGUCGGUCAAGUCUGAUGUGAAAGCCCGGGGCUCAGCUCCGGAAGUGCAUUGGAAACUAGCCGACUGGAGCGCGAUAGAGGAGGGUGGAAUUCCUGGUGUAGCGGUGAAAUGCGUAGAUAUCAGGAGGAACACCGGCGGCGAAGGCGGCCCUCUGGAUCGUUGCUGACGCUGAGACGCGACAGCGUGGGGAGCAAACAGGAUUAGAUACCCUGGUUGUCCACGCCGUAAACUAUGGGUACUAGGUGUUCGGGGUGUUGACCCCCUGAGUGCCGCAGCUAACGCAUUAAGUACCCCGCCUGGGGACUACGGCCGCAAGGUUAAA